GCAAGGAAUUUUGUGCAAUGGGGGAAACCCUGACACAGCAACGCCGCGUGAGGGAUGACGGCCUUCGGGUUGUAAACCUCUUUUCUCAGGGAAGAAUAAUGACGGUACCUGAGGAAUAAGCUUCGGCUAACUACGUGCCAGCAGCCGCGGUAAUACGUAGGAAGCGAGCGUUAUCCGAAUUUACUGGGCGUAAAGUGGGCGUAGGCGGCCUUUCAAGUUGGAUGUGAAAUCUCCUGGCUUAACUGGGAGGGGUCAUCCAAUACUGCUAGGCUUGAGGACAGCAGGAGAAAGUGGAAUUCCCGGUGUAGUGGUGAAAUGCGUAGAUAUCGGGAGGAACACCAGUGGCGAAGGCGGCUUUCUAGGCUGUUUCUGACGCUGAGGCCCUAAAGUGUGGGGAGCGAACAGGAUUAGAAACCCUUGUAGUCC
Molecule: ribosomal RNA, 426 nt
Filed under: uncultured bacterium
Lineage: Bacteria
Description: partial 16S ribosomal RNA
Rfam family: Bacterial small subunit ribosomal RNA
Source: RNAcentral